AUCCAGCUGACGAGUCCCAAAUAGAACGAAACGCGCUUCAAUCUGGAU
This 48-nucleotide non-coding RNA is filed under the name Schistosoma mansoni. Lineage: Eukaryota; Metazoa; Platyhelminthes; Trematoda; Strigeidida; Schistosomatidae. The record is from RNAcentral.